RNAcentral lists this ribosomal RNA (494 nucleotides) under uncultured bacterium. Its description in RNAcentral is "bacterial SSU rRNA". It matches the Rfam family "Bacterial small subunit ribosomal RNA", at positions 15 to 507 of the family's 1533-position model. The record is from RNAcentral.
GAUCCUGGCUCAGGAUGAACGCUGGCGGCGUGCUUAACACAUGCAAGUCGAACGGAGCUUAUGUGAUAGAGACUUCGGUCAAUUGACCAUAAGCUUAGUGGCGGACGGGUGAGUAACGCGUGAGGAACCUGCCUUUCAGAGGGGGACAACAGUUGGAAACGACUGCUAAUACCGCAUGACACAUUCGGGCGGCAUCGCUUGAAUGUCAAAGAUUUUAUCGCUGAAAGAUGGCCUCGCGUCUGAUUAGCUAGUUGGUAGGGUAACGGCCUACCAAGGCGACGAUCAGUAGCCGGACUGAGAGGUUGACCGGCCACAUUGGGACUGAGAUACGGCCCAGACUCCUACGGGAGGCAGCAGUGGGGAAUAUUGGGCAAUGGGCGCAAGCCUGACCCAGCAACGCCGCGUGGAGGAAGAAGGUUUUCGGAUCGUAAACUCCUGUCCUCAGGGAAGAGUAGAAGACGGUACCUGAGGAGGAAGCCCCGGCUAACUACGUG